RNAcentral lists this ribosomal RNA (253 nucleotides) under uncultured bacterium. Its description in RNAcentral is "partial 16S ribosomal RNA". It matches the Rfam family "Bacterial small subunit ribosomal RNA", at positions 524 to 776 of the family's 1533-position model. The record is from RNAcentral.
AACGAGGGGGGCGAGCGUUGUUCGGAAUUAUUGGGCGUAAAGGGUGCGUAGGCGGUUUGGUAAGUCUUGUGUGAAAUCUACAGGCUCAACUUGUAGUCUGCACGAGAAACUGCCGGGCUUGAGUAUGGGAGAGGUGAGUGGAAUUCCUGGUGUAGCGGUGAAAUGCGUAGAUAUCAGGAGGAACACCUGUGGCGAAAGCGGCUCACUGGACCAUAACUGACGCUGAUGCACGAAAGCUAGGGGAGCAAACAGG